This 749-nucleotide long non-coding RNA is filed under the name Homo sapiens (human). RNAcentral describes it as "HSALNT0348518". The record is from RNAcentral. Lineage: Eukaryota; Metazoa; Chordata; Mammalia; Primates; Hominidae.
GUCCCUGCACCCGGCCUCUUGUUGCAGUUUUAUAUGAUGUCAGUUUUCUAAAUUGAUUAAGAAAUUUCUCAAGUUAAUCAACAUAAAGACGCUGCCUGCACCCCUUUCUUGAAAUUAAGGAUGCAGACACUCAGGGCGUGUGUCUUGCACAGCCAGCCAGCCUGGGAAAAUGAAGCCAACUGGGAGAGAGAUUUGAAGGACUCUGGUUCUAGGCAUGCGCACUUCUCCAGGGCAAAGAAGGCUUUAUUUAAACACCCCUAUCUGGUGACUUAGUCCAUUUUCUUUUCAUCUGAUGAUAACAUCUGGCAGCACCCUCAGUUCCCAAGCUCUACAGUCUCAUGUACCUUAUGACGACAAGAUGUCCUUGAAACUUUCUCCAGUUGACUCAGCCACACUGGUUGGAGCUCUCUUGCACAUACUCAGAGGAACGCACACUUCUCCAUUCAAACGACUGCAUCAGGAAGUUAGAAGCAUAACUUUGACUCAGUCGAGGCUUUUCUAGCCACGUAUUUCACAUACGCGAGCUGUCAGACCUCGGAUGAGGGUCUUUACGCAGCUUCAAGAUGCCGCAGAUGGUGAUUUGUUCUUCAGCCAUGAUCACUGGGGCCUGGAUCAUGCUUUUUACAAGUGACUGUACUCGCUACUUUUUUGUUUUGUUUUGUUUGAGAUAGGAUCUUGCUCUGUCAUCCAGGCUGGAGUGCAGUGGUGCGAUCAUGGCUCACUGCAGCCUCAACCCCCUGGGCUCAAGC